CAGAGAGAGAUGAGCAGGGGAAGCAAAGUAUGAUUCUAAGCAAAAACACCAUUGAAUGUUUUGCUUUAUUGCUAAUCCAGAUGUGCCAUAUGUUGUGAUGUUGGGUAGUCAAGGGCAACAAGUACAAGGGGAGCAUUUGCCUUUAGCAUUGGCGUGUAAUGAUCGGCUGAAUUCUGACCGAGAGAGAUUAUGUUUUUUUCUUUUCUGCCUGUUUGUCGACAUUGCCUAGCUGGAACAUAAAUACUCUAUUGUGUCAAUGCCUAGGUGAAGUAAUAAAGUAUUCGGGUCAAGGUAUCAAGAGUGCGAUGGAAGGGUAAAAUGCUGUUUUACCACUGUUCGGGAACUGGUUCAUGGAGAUGACAGAGCAAUAAGAAAGAAAAAUGAAAAUAAAGAGGGCAAAGCUGAAUCAUGUUCACUUCAGGAAUGUUGGAACUAGCUCUACCACAACCUACCAAUGACUUUGCUCUGUUCUGAAGAGGUAGCCCACUUUAAUUCAUGACAAUAGUUGCAUUCUCUUAUCUAAAGUUUUUUGCUGUUACCUUCCUAAAUUUGUCCUUUUGUUUAAAAUCUCAAUCUUCCCUAUAUAGUUGCAUUCUCUUCUUUUCUACUAUCUUCUCUUCUCUUAGUUAAUUACUGUAGCUAUUGUUUUAUGACAUAUAUGACACGAAUUCUAUAAACUUUAUAGAAGGCCAUCCCAACUUCAUAUAUACUUUUAGUACCAUGUUUUUUUCCAUUUAAUUGAAAUGCCUAAGCUUGCCACUAACAUGUUUUAUUUUAUGGAAAAAACAAUGACAAUGGUUAUUAAAAAACUCGACCUGCGAGGGGCAAGCCGCCCUCCGAGCAUUAACGUAAGAAGAAGACCUCUCACGCAGGUCGAGAAAACCCCCGGACCCCUGCCCCACCCUUAGGGGCGCCAUAACCUAUACUGUAACCCGUGUGAGAGCGGGCCGGGGUGAGCCGGGACCUAUUUCCAUGUGCUUUGGUGUGUAGGCAGGCGAGGGGAUUUUUUUAACCUCAGCCUGAAAUUCGCUCCUACCGGGAGUCGAACUCAGGACCUGAGGAGUGCUACUGAGGCCACCUAACCAAUCCGACUAGGCACCCUUUCGCAAUGACAAUGGUUAUUGUCGGUGAUUUUAGCUCUCGCUGUAGUUUUCAGAUAUGUAUCUUUAUUUCAAAGUGCACUAUUUUUUUUCUCUGAGAUGACUGAUGGGGAUUCAUCUAUCUUCAUAAAAAUUGGUAUUUGUUUCUAUGUAUUUCUUUUAAUUAUUCACAGUACUACAAUGACUAGGUUACUAGGUUAGUUAUCUGCACCUUUGUCUGAAUUCUUAUGAAUAUAUAAGCUUUAUGUCAUUACAAACUUAUUCAAAAAAAUUUAGUCUCUUCUGAUUCUUAGCUAUUGCUUGAUAUUCCUUUUUUAGUUUCUUUAAAUAGCUGCUGGUUUCACAGAAAAAAAAUAGCUGCUGGUUACCUGGUAAAUGUAAAUUUAUUCAGUAAGGUUAGUUUUUUUUUCUUUAGAAUUUUAGGAAUGCUCAAGAUUCUGUCAAACGGUUACCUAAAUCGUGAGGUUUUGGAUCCAGAUCCCCUAUCCAAAUUCGUACUUGUUAAUAGAUGCACUGAAGUGAGAAAUAAGUAUACUCUACCAUGGGUCCAUUCUAUUUGUUAUUCUUGUGAAUCAAAUGUUAUUCAAUCAGAGUUGUAUGUUGGAAUUCUUUCUGUCUUAUUACUCUCAUGAUCCAUGUGUUAUUCUGAACACCAGCCAAUUAUCUACCCAUGCCACAUUCAUUUCUUGAAAGCUCUUUCCAGACUACAGAGUCCAAGCUAAAGACCAAAUUCUGAAAGUGGCACAGGUGAAGCUUCAGGACAGCAGAUUGCUUUUUUUUUAGAACAGAUAGCCGAUGACAGCAGAUUGCUUGAAAGAAGCAUCCCUGAUAUCACACUUCUGACCGAGAUUAGGAUUUUAUUUUCAGUGAUCUUCACUUCAGAGCGUGAGGGGAAAGAAAGACUGUUCUUUGAUGGGAAUAUGCUAGAUUAUAAUUUUCAAUCAACCUUGCAAUAAGGAAUACACAUCAGUCAGGCUUGGGGUGACCACUUCAUGGAGGCUCGCUCGUUUCAUGUGUCAAGAUUCCUUAAGCUAACAUACUAUAUUUGAUGAAAAUAGUUUUUUUUACACCAAGAGUGAACGAUUAUAUUGCUGGUGAUCCUCUAUCUAAUAAUGUAAUGAAAAUGUAAGUAAGUCAAGUUCCGUAGAAUUAUAAUUAUAUUUGAAAGUCAGUCAAGCAUGUCUGAGCUUUUUUUUAAUGAGAGAGAUAAAUGUACAGGAAGCUAUUUAUAUUUUCAAAUGAGCUAUAUAUAUAUAUA
This is a long non-coding RNA of Panicum virgatum (switchgrass), 2358 nucleotides long. RefSeq lists it as uncharacterized. The transcript has 4 exons. Lineage: Eukaryota; Viridiplantae; Streptophyta; Magnoliopsida; Poales; Poaceae. The record is from RefSeq and is a predicted model, not a curated record.